GCAUCGGGACGGGCCCGCGGCCCAUUAGCUUGUUGGUGAGGUAACGGCUCACCAAGGCGACGAUGGGUAGCUGGUCUGAGAGGACGAUCAGCCACACUGGGACUGAGACACGGCCCAGACUCCUACGGGAGGCAGCAGUGGGGAAUCUUGCGCAAUGCGCGAAAGCGUGACGCAGCAACGCCGCGUGGAGGAAGACGGUCCUCGGAUUGUAAACUCCUUUCAGUUGGGACGAAGCUCAACGGGUUAAUAGCCCGGUGGAGUGACGGUACCUUCAGAAGAAGCCCCGGCUAACUACGUGCCAGCAGCCGCGGUAAUACGUAGGGGGCUAGCGUUGUCCGGAAUCGUUGGGCGUAAAGCGCGUGUAGGCGGUCCGGUAAGUCCGCUGUGAAAGUCGGGGGCUCAACCCUCGAAUGCCGGUGGAUACUGUCGGGCUAGAGUGCGGAAGAGGCGAGUGGAAUUCCUGGUGUAGCGGUGAAAUGCGCAGAUAUCAGGAGGAACACCAAUUGCGAAGGCAGCUCGCUGGGACGUUACUGACGCUGAGACGCGAAAGCGUGGGGAGCAAACAGGAUUAGGUACCCUGGUAGUCCACGCUGUAAACGAUGGGCUCUAGGUGUGGGGGGUGUCGACUCCCUCCGUGCCGAAGCUAACGCAUUAAGUGCCCCGCCUGGGGAGUACGGCCGCAAGGCUAAAACUCAAAGGAAUUGACGG
Molecule: ribosomal RNA, 708 nt
Filed under: uncultured bacterium
Lineage: Bacteria
Description: bacterial SSU rRNA
Rfam family: Bacterial small subunit ribosomal RNA
Source: RNAcentral